AGAGUUUGAUCAUGGCUCAGGACGAACGCUGGCGGCGUGCUUAACACAUGCAAGUCAGGGGGGCUCGGGGCAACUCGGGCAACCGGCGAACGGGUGCGUAACACGUGAGCAACCUGCCCUCGUGUGGGGGAUAGCCGGGCUAACGCCCGGGUAAUACCGCAUACGUGUCCUCCGGGGGGUCCUGGGGGACGGAAAGUCUUCGGACGCACGGGGAGGGGCUCGCGGCCUAUCAGCUAGUUGGGGGGGUAACGGCCCACCAAGGCGACGACGGGUAGCUGGUCUGAGAGGAUGGCCAGCCACAUUGGGACUGAGGGACGGCCCAGACUCCUACGGGAGGCAGCAGUGGGGAAUCUUGCGCAAUGGCCGAGAGGCUGACGCAGCGACGCCGCGUGUGGGAGGACGCCUUUCGGGGUGUAAACCACUGUUGCCCGGGACGAACAGCCAGUUUCGACUGGCCUGACGGUACCGGGUGAGGAAGCACCGGCUAACUCCGUGCCAGCAGCCGCGGUAAUAC
This 514-nucleotide ribosomal RNA is filed under the name uncultured bacterium. Its description in RNAcentral is "bacterial SSU rRNA". It matches the Rfam family "Bacterial small subunit ribosomal RNA", at positions 8 to 526 of the family's 1533-position model. The record is from RNAcentral.